This 757-nucleotide ribosomal RNA is filed under the name uncultured bacterium. RNAcentral's name for it is "bacterial SSU rRNA". It matches the Rfam family "Bacterial small subunit ribosomal RNA", at positions 129 to 865 of the family's 1533-position model. The record is from RNAcentral.
CCCUUGAGUGGGGGGUAACUCCGCGAAAGCGGAGCUAAUACCGCGUAAGACUACAGAGUCGCAUGAUUCAGUAGUAAAAGGCUUCCCGAUUUUCGGGGAAUCGCUCAGGGAUGAGUCCGCGCCUGAUUAGCUAGUUGGUAGGGUAACAGCCUACCAAGGCAACGAUCAGUAGCCGACCUGAAAGGGUGUUCGGCCACACUGGAAUUGAGAUACGGUCCAGACUCCUACGGGAGGCAGCAGUGGGGAAUCUUGCGCAAUGGGGGAAACCCUGACGCAGUGACGCCGCGUGAACGAUGAAGUCCUUCGGGAUGUAAAGUUCUGUCAGGCGGGAAGAACCCCCUCCGAUUGUAUCGGAGGGAAUGACGGUACCGCCAGAGGAAGCACCGGCUAAUUCCGUGCCAGCAGCCGCGGUAAGACGGAGGGUGCAAGCGUUGUUCGGAAUUACUAGGCGUAAAGAGCGUGUAGGUGGUUAGCCAAGUCGGACGUGAAAAUUCCAAGCUUAACUUGGAACCUGCGUUCGAAACUGGUUAACUUGAGUGUAGGAGAGGAGAGCGGAAUUCCUAGUGUAGCGGUGAAAUGCGUAGAUAUUAGGAAGAACACCGGUGGCGAAGGCGGCUCUCUGGCCUAAAACUGACACUGAGACGCGAAAGCGUGGGUAGCGAACAGGAUUAGAUACCCUGGUAGUCCACGCCGUAAACGAUGGGCAUUAGGUGUAGGAGGUAUCCAAUCCUUCUGUGCCGAAGUUAACGCAUUAAAU